Molecule: ribosomal RNA, 253 nt
Filed under: uncultured bacterium
Lineage: Bacteria
Description: partial 16S ribosomal RNA
Rfam family: Bacterial small subunit ribosomal RNA
Source: RNAcentral
UACAGGGGGUGCAAACGUUGCUCGGAAUUAUUGGGCGUAAAGCGCGCGUAGGCGGCUACCUAAGUCGGAUGUGAAAGCCCCUGGCUCAACUGGGGAAGUGCACCCGAAACUGGGUAGCUUGAGUGCAAAAGAGGAUCGCGGAAUUCCCGGUGUAGAGGUGAAAUUCGUAGAUAUCGGGAGGAACACCGGUGGCGAAGGCGGCGAUCUGGGUUGACACUGACGCUGAGGCGCGAAAGCGUGGGGAGCAAACAGG